RNAcentral lists this ribosomal RNA (460 nucleotides) under uncultured bacterium. RNAcentral describes it as "partial 16S ribosomal RNA". It matches the Rfam family "Bacterial small subunit ribosomal RNA", at positions 338 to 795 of the family's 1533-position model. The record is from RNAcentral.
CCUACGGGCGGCAGCAGUGAGGAAUAUUGGUCAAUGGGCUUACGCCUGAACCAGCCAAGUCGCGUGAGGGAAGACUGCCCUAUGGGUUGUAAACCUCUUUUGUCAGGGAGCAACGCCGGCUACGUGUAGCCGGACUGAGAGUACCUGAAGAAAAAGCAUCGGCUAACUCCGUGCCAGCAGCCGCGGUAAUACGGGGGAUGCGAGCGUUAUCCGGAUUUAUUGGGUUUAAAGGGUGCGUAGGCGGAAUGCCAAGUCAGCGGUAAAAUCGCGGGGCUCAACCUCGCUCCGCCGUUGAAACUGGCGUGCUUGAGUGGGCGAGAAGUAUGCGGAAUGCGUGGUGUAGCGGUGAAAUGCAUAGAUAUCACGCAGAACUCCGAUUGCGAAGGCAGCAUACCGGCGCCCAACUGACGCUGAAGCACGAAAGCGUGGGUAUCGAACAGGAUUAGAUACCCUGGUAGUC